CAGUCGCCGCGGUAAUACGAAGGGUGCAAGCGUUACUCGGAAUUACUGGGCGUAAAGCGUGCGUAGGUGGUGGUUUAAGUCCGUUGUGAAAGCCCUGGGCUCAACCUGGGAAUUGCAGUGGAUACUGGGUCACUAGAGUGUGGUAGAGGAUAGUGGAAUUUCCGGUGUAGCAAUGAAAUGCGUAGAGAUCGGAAGGAACAUCUGUGGCGAAGGCGACUAUCUGGGCCAACACUGACACUGAGGCACGAAAGCGUGGGGAGCAAACAGGAUUAGAUACCCGCGUAGUCCCUGUCUCUUAUAC
This 301-nucleotide ribosomal RNA is filed under the name uncultured bacterium. Its description in RNAcentral is "partial 16S ribosomal RNA". It matches the Rfam family "Bacterial small subunit ribosomal RNA", at positions 509 to 807 of the family's 1533-position model. The record is from RNAcentral.